This is a long non-coding RNA of Hypanus sabinus (Atlantic stingray), 271 nucleotides long. RefSeq lists it as uncharacterized. The transcript is spliced from 3 exons. Lineage: Eukaryota; Metazoa; Chordata; Chondrichthyes; Myliobatiformes; Dasyatidae. The record is from RefSeq and is a predicted model, not a curated record.
GUUUCCGGUAAGCAGUAAAAUGGCGCUGCUGGUCGGAGGAAGGCUGGUUACCGGGGUUGGAGCGGUGGCAAUCAGAGGUGGAGGCUGGAAUUGUGUUUGCCAGAAAUCUACGUAUACUGCUCUUCCCAAUGACUAUAACUGUAAAGUUGAACUUGCAUUGACGUCAGAUGGACGGACAAUUGUUUGUUAUCAUCCAUCGGUGGACAUCCCAUACGAACACACCAAGGUGGGUUGAAUAUUUACACAUGUUUAUGCUGGAGUUUUUUUUAAA